Molecule: ribosomal RNA, 1159 nt
Filed under: Dulcicalothrix sp. HA4283-MV5
Lineage: Bacteria; Bacillati; Cyanobacteriota; Cyanophyceae; Nostocales; Calotrichaceae
Description: bacterial SSU rRNA
Rfam family: Bacterial small subunit ribosomal RNA
Source: RNAcentral
GGGGAAUUUUCCGCAAUGGGCGAAAGCCUGACGGAGCAAUACCGCGUGAGGGACGAAGGCUCUUGGGUCGUAAACCUCUUUUCUCAAGGAAGAUAAUGACGGUACUUGAGGAAUAAGCAUCGGCUAACUCUGUGCCAGCAGCCGCGGUAAUACAGAGGAUGCAAGCGUUAUCCGGAAUGAUUGGGCGUAAAGCGUCCGCAGGUGGUUUUGUAAGUCUGCUGUUAAAGCGUUAGGCUCAACCUAAUAAGGGCAGUGGAAACUAUAAGACUAGAGUAUGUUAGGGGUAGAGGGAAUUCCCAGUGUAGCGGUGAAAUGCGUAGAGAUUGGGAAGAACACCGGUGGCGAAAGCGCUCUGCUAGGACAAUACUGACACUGAGGGACGAAAGCUAGGGGAGCGAAUGGGAUUAGAUACCCCAGUAGUCCUAGCCGUAAACGGUGGAUACUAGGCGUUGCCCGUAUCGACCCGGGCAUUGUCGUAGCUAACGCGUUAAGUAUCCCGCCUGGGGAGUACGCACGCAAGUGUGAAACUCAAAGGAAUUGGCGGGGGCCCGCACAAGCGGUGGAGUAUGUGGUUUAAUUCGAUGCAACGCGAAGAACCUUACCAGGACUUGACAUGUCGCGAAUCUUGCUGAAAGGUGAGAGUGCCUUCGGGAGCGCGAACACAGGUGGUGCAUGGCUGUCGUCAGCUCGUGUCGUGAGACGUUGGGUUAAGUCCCGCAACGAGCGCAACCCUCGUUUUUAGUUGCCAGCAUUAAGUUGGGCACUCUAGAGAGACUGCCGGUGACAAACCGGAGGAAGGUGGGGAUGACGUCAAGUCAGCAUGCCCCUUACGUCCUGGGCUACACACGUACUACAAUGCUACGAACAAAGGGCAGCUAGUUAGCAAUAACAUGCAAAUCUCAGAAAUCGUAGCUCAGUUCAGAUUGAAGGCUGCAACUCGCCUUCAUGAAGUCGGAAUCGCUAGUAAUUGCAGGUCAGCAUACUGCAGUGAAUUCGUUCCCGGGCCUUGUACACACCGCCCGUCACACCAUGGAAGCUGGUCACGCCCGAAGUAGUUAUCCUAACUGUUCGCAGAGGGAGAUUCCGAAGGUAGGGCUGGUGACUGGGGUGAAAUCGUAACAAGGUAGCCGUACCGGAAGGUGUGGCUGGAUCACCUCCU